GACGAACGCUGGCGGCGUGCCUAACACAUGCAAGUCGAACGAUGAAGCCUAGCUUGCUAGGUGGAUUAGUGGCGAACGGGUGAGUAAUACGUGAGUAACCUACCUUUAACUCUGGGAUAAGCCUGGGAAACUGGGUCUAAUACCGGAUACGACCAAUCUCCGCAUGGGGUGUUGGUGGAAAGCGUUAUGUAGUGGUUAUAGAUGGGCUCACGGCCUAUCAGCUUGUUGGUGAGGUAACGGCUCACCAAGGCGACGACGGGUAGCCGGCCUGAGAGGGUGACCGGCCACACUGGGACUGAGACACGGCCCAGACUCCUACGGGAGGCAGCAGUGGGGAAUAUUGCACAAUGGGCGCAAGCCUGAUGCAGCGACGCCGCGUGAGGGAUGACGGCCUUCGGGUUGUAAACCUCUGUUAGCAGGGAAGAAGAGAGAUUGACGGUACCUGCAGAGAAAGCGCCGGCUAACUACGUGCCAGCAGCCGCGGUAAUACGUAGGGCGCGAGCGUUGUCCGGAAUUAUUGGGCGUAAAGAGCUUGUAGGCGGUUUGUCGCGUCUGCUGUGAAGGCCGGGGCUUAACUCCGUGUAUUGCAGUGGGUACGGGCAGACUAGAGUGCAGUAGGGGAGACUGGAAUUCCUGGUGUAGCGGUGGAAUGCGCAGAUAUCAGGAGGAACACCGAUGGCGAAGGCAGGUCUCUGGGCUGUAACUGACGCUGAGAAGCGAAAGCAUGGGGAGCGAACAGGAUUAGAUACCCUGGUAGUCCAUGCCGUAAACGUUGGGCACUAGGUGUGGGGGACAUUCCACGUUUUCCGCGCCGUAGCUAACGCAUUAAGUGCCCCGCCUGGGGAGUACGGCCGCAAGGCUAAGACUCAAAGAAAUUGACGGGGGCCCGCACAAGCGGCGGAGCACGCGGAUUAAUUCGAUGCAACGCGAAGAACCUUACCAAGGCUUGACAUAUACUGGACCGCAUCAGAGAUGGUGUUUCCCUUCGGGGCUGGUAUACAGGUGGUGCAUGGUUGUCGUCAGCUCGUGUCGUGAGAUGUUGGGUUAAGUCCCGCAACGAGCGCAACCCUCGUUCUAUGUUGCCAGCACGUUAUGGUGGGGACUCAUAGGAGACUGCCGGGGUCAACUCGGAGGAAGGUGGGGAUGACGUCAAAUCAUCAUGCCCCUUAUGUCUUGGGCUUCACGCAUGCUACAAUGGCCGGUACAGAGGGUUGCGAUACUGUGAGGUGGAGCUAAUCCCUAAAAGCCGGUCUCAGUUCGGAUUGGGGUCUGCAACUCGACCCCAUGAAGUCGGAGUCGCUAGUAAUCGCAGAUCAGCAACGCUGCGGUGAAUACGUUCCCGGGCCU
RNAcentral lists this ribosomal RNA (1347 nucleotides) under uncultured bacterium. RNAcentral describes it as "bacterial SSU rRNA". It matches the Rfam family "Bacterial small subunit ribosomal RNA", at positions 28 to 1381 of the family's 1533-position model. The record is from RNAcentral.